UACGAAGGGGGCGAGCGUUGUUCGGAAUUACUGGGCGUAAAGGGCGCGUAGGCGGCCUGUUAAGUCGAACGUGAAAUCCCCGGGCUCAACCCGGGAACUGCGUCCGAUACUGGUGGGCUCGAAUCCGGGAGAGGGAUGUGGAAUUCCAGGUGUAGCGGUGAAAUGCGUAGAUAUCUGGAGGAACACCGGUGGCGAAGGCGGCAUCCUGGACCGGUAUUGACGCUGAUGCGCGAAAGCCAGGGGAGCAAACGGG
This 253-nucleotide ribosomal RNA is filed under the name uncultured bacterium. RNAcentral's name for it is "partial 16S ribosomal RNA". It matches the Rfam family "Bacterial small subunit ribosomal RNA", at positions 524 to 776 of the family's 1533-position model. The record is from RNAcentral.